Molossus molossus (Pallas's mastiff bat) is the source of this 105-nucleotide small nucleolar RNA. RefSeq annotates it as small nucleolar RNA U13. The transcript has a single exon. The record is from RefSeq and is a predicted model, not a curated record. NCBI's taxonomy places the organism in Eukaryota, Metazoa, Chordata, Mammalia, Chiroptera, Molossidae.
AUCCUCCUGUAGCCCACAAGCGUGAGGAUCAGGUCUUCAUGCCUUUGUAUGAGAUGUGCCUCCCACUAAACCUUGCUUCGACUGCAGCACAUCACCCAUCUGACG